GUAGUCAAGCACUUUAUCAUGUUUCAAUUAGGUAGUCGAGCAUCGUAAUAAAAUUGGAGGGACAAAGUUGGGAUUUACAUUACUCUCUUUUUAUAAAUGAGAUUCACAGAAGGUAAAUAAAAAAGCAAGUGAAACACUAUUUCCGGAAUGUACUAAAUAAAGCAGACGUGCCCUAACUCCUCCAUUUUGGUACCAAAUACUUGCCUCAUAUGCACUUAAAGGAUUGAGCCGAAACCUACUGAAGACACCUCUCAACGUGGCAACCGCCGCCCCGACAACAGUUCUCGCUCCGGACGUGGUAACCACAGUGCACCUCAGUCUGGAGCUCCCAUCGCUCCUUCAUCUUGGUCUCCUCCUCCUUGGCAACAAUAACAGCAGUACCCAACCUGACAACCAUGGGGUUGGACUCCACCACCAUGGACUAUGCCACCGUGUUCGUAUCCCACCUCUCAGUGGACACGCCAUGUCGGUCCUCCUAAGCAGCCAGGCAUUCUAGGACAGCGUCUUCAGGUGUAUGCAACUUCUUCCUCAUCUCAGAUACCGAUAGAUAUUGAGACCGCAAUGCACAUCAUGUCACUCCACACUCCUGACAAUCAGUGGUACAUGGACACGGACGCAACAUCUCACACAGUCGCAUCACAAGACUGGGAUCACCCUUCUCAGAUGCGACAGUCGUGGAGAUCUUUAUCCAGUUACCACUUCUCCCAAUUUUGCCGGUCUCACAUCCAGUCUUUGGCAUAGUCGUCUUGGUCAUCCUGGCGUGUCUGUUUUGAAUCCCUUCGCAAAAAUAAGUUCAUAUGUUGUGAACCUUUUAAUUCUUCUGUCGUUUAUGACUAUUGUGUUUUAGAAAACAGGUUAAAUUGCCAUUUUUUGAUUCUCAAACUACGACUUUGAUGCCUUUUGACAUUUUACAUGGUGAUUUAUGGACGUCUCCAAUUUAAGUUUUGCUGAUCAUAAAUAUUAUGUCUUAUUUUUAGAUGAUUUUACAAACUUCUUGUGGACUUUUCCUAUUAGCAGAAAAUCUCAUGUGUUUGAAACGUUCAAGUCACUUACUCAACUCAUUCAAACUUAAUUUUUGCAAAAACUCAAAACAAUUCAAUGUGACAAUGACGGUGAAUAUAAUAAUGAACUUUUUCAAAAAUAUUGCAUAGAUCAUGGUCUAGUUUUUCGUUUCUCUUGUCCCCACACAUCCUCACAAAAUGGGAAAGCGGAACGCAAAAUAAGAACCAUUAAUAAUAUGAUACACACUAUGCUAGCUCAUUGUUUUGGCAUCAUGCUCUCCACAUGACAACUUAACUAUUAAAUAUUAUUCCCUGUAAAACACUUCAUAAUCAAUCACCAACACAACUCAUGUAUCAUCGUGAUCCCACCUAAACACAUCUCAGAGUCUUUAGUUGUCUAUGUUAUCCAUUAUUCCCGUCAUCUACCAUUCAUAAGUUACAACCCCGCUCUACUCCGUGUGUCUUCUUGAGUUAUCCGCCGAAUCAUAGAGGUUAUAAGUGUUUUGAUUUGUCUAAUAGAAAAUUAAUAAUUUCGAGGCAUGUUAUCUUUGAUGAAACUUAAUUUCCCUUCACCAAGAUACACUCCCCUUCACCUCACUCUUAUCAAUUCCCAAAUGAUGAGCUUCACCCCUUACCUUAUACAUCAGUGGCAAAAUCAAAUUUCACCACCUGUUGCACAUAACCAACCAACACCCACAAUCCCAAUUAACCAACCACUACCCUCAAUAAACCAACAAUCAUCAUCUCCUACCUCUUCGAUCAACACACCCAUUACAAUAAA
Long non-coding RNA from Lathyrus oleraceus (garden pea), 1782 nucleotides. RefSeq lists it as uncharacterized. The record is from RefSeq and is a predicted model, not a curated record. The transcript has 3 exons. NCBI's taxonomy places the organism in Eukaryota, Viridiplantae, Streptophyta, Magnoliopsida, Fabales, Fabaceae.